RNAcentral lists this transfer RNA (72 nucleotides) under Syntrophaceae bacterium. RNAcentral's name for it is "tRNA-Gln". It matches the Rfam family "tRNA". Rfam says of the family: Transfer RNA (tRNA) molecules are approximately 80 nucleotides in length. Their secondary structure includes four short double-helical elements and three loops (D, anti-codon, and T loops). Further hydrogen bonds mediate the characteristic L-shaped molecular structure. tRNAs have two regions of fundamental functional importance: the anti-codon, which is responsible for specific mRNA codon recognition, and the 3' end, to which the tRNAs corresponding amino acid is attached (by aminoacyl-tRNA synthetases). tRNAs cope with the degeneracy of the genetic code in two manners: having more than one tRNA (with a specific anti-codon) for a particular amino acid; and 'wobble' base-pairing, i.e. permitting non-standard base-pairing at the 3rd anti-codon position. Lineage: Bacteria; Pseudomonadati; Thermodesulfobacteriota; Syntrophia; Syntrophales; Syntrophaceae. The record is from RNAcentral.
UGGGGUGUCGCCAAGCGGUAAGGCACGGGACUUUGGAUCCUGCACACGGAGGUUCGAAUCCUCCCACCCCAG